GACACGCUGGCGGCAUGCCUAAUACAUGCAAGUCGAACGCGGCCAUCCGGUGCUUGCACUGGUGAAGCCGAGUGGCGAACGGGUGAGUAACACGUGAGAAACCUGCCCUGGAGUGGGGAAUAACUCGAAGAAAUUCGAGCUAAUACCGCAUACCUUCUCUUCACCGCAUGGUGAGUUGAAGAAAGAUUUAUCGCUCUAGGAGGGUCUCGCGGCCUAUCAGCUAGUUGGUGAGGUAAUGGCUCACCAAGGCAUCGACGGGUAGCUGGUCUGAGAGGACGAUCAGCCACACUGGGACUGAGACACGGCCCAGACUCCUACGGGAGGCAGCAGUAGGGAAUCUUGCGCAAUGGGCGAAAGCCUGACGCAGCAAUGCCGCGUGCGGGACGAAGGCCCUAGGGUCGUAAACCGCUUUCAGUAGGGACGAAAAUGACGGUACCUGCAGAAGAAGCUCCGGCCAACUACGUG
This 465-nucleotide ribosomal RNA is filed under the name uncultured bacterium. RNAcentral's name for it is "bacterial SSU rRNA". It matches the Rfam family "Bacterial small subunit ribosomal RNA", at positions 33 to 507 of the family's 1533-position model. The record is from RNAcentral.